RNAcentral lists this ribosomal RNA (520 nucleotides) under Pestalotiopsis sp. F-1-30. Its description in RNAcentral is "eukaryotic LSU rRNA". The stretch from base 143 to 296 matches the Rfam family "5.8S ribosomal RNA". Lineage: Eukaryota; Fungi; Ascomycota; Sordariomycetes; Amphisphaeriales; Sporocadaceae. The record is from RNAcentral.
CAAGGGUUUUCUAACUCCAACCCAUGUGAACUUACCUUUUGUUGCCUCGGCAGAAGUUAUAGGUCUUCUUAUAGCUGCUGCCGGUGGACCAUUAAACUCUUGUUAUUUUAUGUAAUCUGAGCGUCUUAUUUUAAUAAGUCAAAACUUUCAACAACGGAUCUCUUGGUUCUGGCAUCGAUGAAGAACGCAGCGAAAUGCGAUAAGUAAUGUGAAUUGCAGAAUUCAGUGAAUCAUCGAAUCUUUGAACGCACAUUGCGCCCAUUAGUAUUCUAGUGGGCAUGCCUGUUCGAGCGUCAUUUCAACCCUUAAGCCUAGCUUAGUGUUGGGAAUCUACUUCUCUUAGGAGUUGUAUUUCCUGAAAUACAACGCCGGAUUUGUAGUAUCCUCUGAGCGUAGCAAUUUUUUUCUCGCUUUUGUUAGGAGCUAUAACUCCCAGCCCCUAAACCCCCAAUUUUUUGUGGUUGACCUCGGAUCAGGUAGGAAUACCCGCUGAACUUAAGCAUAUGAAUAACUGGGGGAU